Molecule: ribosomal RNA, 232 nt
Filed under: uncultured Burkholderia sp.
Lineage: Bacteria; Pseudomonadati; Pseudomonadota; Betaproteobacteria; Burkholderiales; Burkholderiaceae
Description: partial 16S ribosomal RNA
Rfam family: Bacterial small subunit ribosomal RNA
Source: RNAcentral
AUUACUGGGCGUAAAGCGUGCGCAGGCGGUGAUGUAAGUCCGAUGUGAAAUCCCCGGGCUCAACCUGGGAACUGCAUUGGUGACUGCAUCGCUUGAGUAUGGCAGAGGGGGGUAGAAUUCCACGUGUAGCAGUGAAAUGCGUAGAGAUGUGGAGGAAUACCGAUGGCGAAGGCAGCCCCCUGGGCCAAUACUGACGCUCAUGCACGAAAGCAUGGGGAGCAAACAGGAUUAA